GGACCGUGCGGUUUACAUCUGCCUCAUAAGAAGAGGACAUACAAUACAAAUACCUAGCUUCGGCAAAAACGCUUCAAUAGCAGACCCAGCACGAGUCAAAAACGUUUGUUCUUAGUUGUUUAACUGUGCGUCGUCAAGUUUACGAACAAUCUUCCGAAAAAUCUCGCGGUGGUUUCGGUGGCAGAGAAACUGAUUCAUAGUAGAAAGCUUACAAUCAACAAAUCCAACACUGUACCGAGCAGUUCCGUAAACUGGAACACCAGCCAUCAGCCUGUGAUUUCGACCGUUUUCUUCGACUUUAAGUCGUACAACAACAGUGACUUCUGUUCACCUAUCAUAAUCUUCAGAACAUCGUCAACAUGGGAGACACUGGAAGCAAGCACCACUCUGAGUACGGGUACAACUCGUCUGGAUGCGACCCAACACAGUCAGGGGAUUUGGGAAAAUGUUGCCGUUGCUUGAUGAUGGCAAUCGUUGUAGCGCUUGUUGUUUUGGGCAUUGUAGCUGUCAUUGUUCUUUUUGCGACUGGAACAAUUCCUUAAGAUUCAACAAUGAAGGCAGAUUCGACGCUUCUGUAUCCAUGACGUAGCCAAGACCAUCCACUUCGAACUUGGGAAUGAUCACAAUUUAAAACAACCCCUGAUGAUGUGAUUGAAAACGUCGAACUUUGACUUUGAAACAAGCAAGUUGAAUGAAACUGUAAUGUACCAUCUAUAAGAAUGGGAAAUGGAGAUCAGGAGUGCGUUUUGGCGGCCCCAAUCCAAGCCCUACUGAGUCAAAAGUCGGUUACUGAUUGGUGUAAACAGCAUCGUCGCCGCGGUUCAACCAAACACCGAUGACCAAAGAUCAAACAUGAUUCUGGUAAGGGUCGCCAAAACACACUCUUGAUGUUGCCUAAACAAAGACAGUCAAAUAGGGUCUCACACUUAAGCCGUUUGGGUCCAUCUUAAUAAAGCUGUUAACCAGAAAUUUCCUUCUCAGCGAUUUGUUUUCCUAAACUAAGCAACAACUUUGUGGGACACCAGUCACCACAAUGUAAACUGAAUGUUAAUUUGGAUUGUUACUAUUUUAUUAUAAGCCAUUUUCUUAGCUUGGCAACUGUUUGUUCUUACAGGCAUAUGAAAUGGGGCCUUUUAUUGACUUUAGCUAUGGAGUUCAAAGUUCAUGGAAGCUGUGGGGCAUGCGGGACAUGCAGUGUUCUUGUUUCACUUUGUAUUGUACUUAUUUUGACUGAGAAAUAUGUUAAUACAUGUUGUUAAAAUGUUAAUGUUUACCAUUAUGUCACUAAAUGGUCACAAUCAGCACUCUGUAAUCGAUAGUACUGUUAAAAUACCUUUUUUCAAAGUGAGUGCCGAAAAAAGACGCUGUGCGUAAUAUCUCAACGAAAAGUGGUAUGUUCAUCGGUACUGGUUAUAGAAACACACCUCACAUGUAGUUAAAGCAUUUCAACUUGAAAACAAACAAUUAGGAAAAAUAUUUGUAAUAUUAAUUGUUUUAGUUAUUAUUAUCUAUUCCUGUUAUUGUUUAAAAUGAGUGUUAAUUACUACUAGUUCCACCAAAAAACACCCCGUGAAAACACAACAAUUUUUGACAGCAUCUUAGAUUUUGGUUAAGAAUUCUGAUUUAUAAGAACGAGGUUUGGGGAAAUGUAAUGAUUGUAUUUAUACCAAUUACUUAAUUACAUGUACUAUUCAUUACGUUGAUUGCAGAUUAUAAAGUUGUUGAUUCAUUUUG
Long non-coding RNA from Asterias rubens (European starfish), 1734 nucleotides. RefSeq lists it as uncharacterized. The record is from RefSeq and is a predicted model, not a curated record. The transcript is spliced from 3 exons. NCBI's taxonomy places the organism in Eukaryota, Metazoa, Echinodermata, Asteroidea, Forcipulatida, Asteriidae.